UGUAGGUGCCCAUCAGUCGCUCAGUAGUCAGUGUAGAUUCUGUCUUUACAAUCAGCAGCUACAUCUGGCUACUGGGUCUCUGAUGACAUCUC
RNAcentral lists this microRNA precursor (92 nucleotides) under Zonotrichia leucophrys (white-crowned sparrow). Its description in RNAcentral is "microRNA 222". It matches the Rfam family "mir-221 microRNA precursor family". Lineage: Eukaryota; Metazoa; Chordata; Aves; Passeriformes; Passerellidae. The record is from RNAcentral.